RNAcentral lists this ribosomal RNA (797 nucleotides) under uncultured Clostridia bacterium. RNAcentral describes it as "bacterial SSU rRNA". It matches the Rfam family "Bacterial small subunit ribosomal RNA", at positions 65 to 879 of the family's 1533-position model. The record is from RNAcentral. Lineage: Bacteria; Bacillati; Bacillota; Clostridia.
UUCGAUAGAUCCCUUCGGGGUGAAGAUGAAAUGGAUUAGCGGCGGACGGGUGAGUAACACGUGAGUAACCUGCCUUAGACAUUGGGAUAGCCUCGGGAAACCGGGAUUAAUACCAAAUGAAAUCACAUAUGCACAUGCAUAAAUGAUCAAAGCUCCGGCGGUCUAAGAUGGACUCGCGUCCCAUUAGCUAGUUGGUGAGGUAACGGCCCACCAAGGCGACGAUGGGUAGCCGGCCUGAGAGGGUGAACGGCCACAUUGGAACUGAGAAACGGUCCAAACUCCUACGGGAGGCAGCAGUGGGGAAUAUUGCACAAUGGAGGGAACUCUGAUGCAGCGACGCCGCGUGAACGAAGAAGGCUUUCGAGUCGUAAAGUUCUUUUAUAUGGGAAGAUAAUGACGGUACCAUAAGAAAAAGCCCCGGCUAACUACGUGCCAGCAGCCGCGGUAAUACGUAGGGGGCUAGCGUUGUCCGGAAUCACUGGGCGUAAAGGGUUCGCAGGCGGAAAUGCAAGUCAGGUGUAAAAGGCAGUAGCUUAACUACUGUAAGCAUUUGAAACUGCAUAUCUUGAGAAGAGUAGAGGUAAGUGGAAUUUUUAGUGUAGCCGGUGAAAUGCGUAGAUAUUAAAAAGAAUACCGGUGGCGAAGGCGACUUACUGGGCUCAUUCUGACGCUGAGGAACGAAAGCGUGGGUAGCAAACAGGAUUAGAUACCCUGGUAGUCCACGCUGUACACGAUGAGUGCUAGGUAUCGGAAUAAUUCGGUGCCGCAGUUAACACAUUAAGCACUCCGCCUGGGGA